GGAGCAUGAGAAACGGCUACUAUUUCUAAGGAAAGCAGCAGGCGCGCAAAUUAUUCAAUGGAAACAAUUUUCCGAAAUAGUGACAAAAAAUAUCAAUGCUGGAUACUAUGUAUUUAGUAAUUGGAAUGAGUACAAUUUAAAUCCCUUAACAAGUAACAAUUAGAGGGCAAGUCUGGUGCCAGCAGCCGCGGUAAUUCCAGCUCUAAUAGCGUAUAUUAAUAUUGUUGCAGUUAAAAAGCUCGUAGUUGAAAUUUGGAACUUUAUUAUAUUGGUUUACCUUUUGGUGAACUAUAUGAUGGGUUUCUUCCUACUAGAGUUCGAUUCUGUUCUUAACUGAAUGGAGUAGCUAUCUCUCGGGGUAGUCAAUUGGUUAUUAUAUCUCCACUAAUGAGCAGAGAGGAGUAAAAUACUUCAAAGUAAGUUAUGUGGGUCAAGGUAUGAUGAUUAAUUGGAGUUCUAGUUCAUUUACUUUGAGAAAAUUAGAGUGUUUAAAGCAGCUCUUGGGGCACUGAAUACAUUAGCAUGG
Molecule: ribosomal RNA, 526 nt
Filed under: uncultured eukaryote
Lineage: Eukaryota
Description: bacterial SSU rRNA
Rfam family: Eukaryotic small subunit ribosomal RNA
Source: RNAcentral